UAUGAUAUUUCUAUAAGGGCAGAUCGUAAUUUUAAAGACAAUUUGAUGAAAGAAAAUUCAUGGAGAGAGAUAUCCUUGGCAGUGAACUUACCAGUUUCUGAUUGUCAAAAUCGAUGGCUGAGGCUGCGUGAACGAUUUGGAAAAGAGAAACGCCAACGAGAAUUAGAUUCAAGAAGUGGCAGUGGAGUUUGUCGACGAGCUGUUUACGCAUAUUAUGAAAAUAUGUUAUUUCUAAAUGAACAUAUUAAGAAAAGAAAAUCCUAUACAAAUUUGUGGAUCAUCUUUCAUUUCUUGAAGUAGAUGAUAAAAAUCUCCCAGAUGAGGACGCAUACAAUUAAUUGGUCGGACCCACCAUUGUCGAUUCUGCCACCUUCGUGAUCUCUUCCUUCGUAAUAAAAAUUCAGCACAUAGUAGAAUCAUAAUUGCGAGCAUGAGCAGCGGCACAGGUUACGGUGGCGGCGGCGGCGCUGGCAGCGACCAUGGUAGCGAGGACAGCAGCUGCGCAAGCGUCCUCGUCGUGCCUAUUGACACCGACAGCGACCGCGAUCGCAGAUUAAGCUCGUGGACGAGCUGGUAUUAUAGCUGUAACAGUGGCAGUAGCAGCAGCAGCAGUACCAGCAGCAGCAGAAGCUCGCCGGACAAUCUCCCCAGCAUCAGCGCAGCCGACAAUCUCUCCGGCACCAGCACAGACGACACACGGUUACCGUGUGUUAGCUGUGUAACGGGUUAGGAUUUUUUGAUAGCAAAACCAUGAGUGAAGAAGCGCGGCGGAUUCGGGCGGCGGCUGAAGCAGCCAUGAAUGAAAUGGAUAUAAAUAUCCACGACUUAUUUCUGAUUUCCGGAUUUCUAGAUCUCAAUCUAUUAGAUUUUUUCGUAUGGAGUGUUAUCAAAGAAAGUCUUGGCGUAUGAAUAAGAUAAUAUCAUACAAACAUCUGUUAAAAUUAUCUGUAAAAAUCAUUUAAAUAUAUUUAAUGCAUCUGUUAGCCCGAAAUAAUCAACUCCUUGAAAAAGUACGAUGUAAUUUAAUUGAAAGAUCAACUUGUCUUAACAAUUGUAGAUGUUACAUAAAAGCGUGAGUACAAGCAAAUAUAUUAAAAGCGAUUGAUAUGAAUGGCUCAGUUUCUUUGGGUUUGACGACAUAGAUAAAUAUGCGCUCGCACAUAUAUUUAUAAACACAAAUGAAAAUACACGCAACACAAAGACCUCCGAUUAUCUUCAGCUUCCUAUUCGAGCAACUUCGGCCAUCAAUAACAUAAUGACAAAUUGACAUUCGUCGAAUUAUUGAUAAUUGAUUCGAAAAUUUCGGAAAUUAUUAAAGAGAAUGAGAUAAAAUACGGCUACAGACAAAAAUCUA
Molecule: long non-coding RNA, 1354 nt
Organism: Odontomachus brunneus
Lineage: Eukaryota; Metazoa; Arthropoda; Insecta; Hymenoptera; Formicidae
Exons: 5
Source: RefSeq, a predicted model, not a curated record